RNAcentral lists this ribosomal RNA (506 nucleotides) under uncultured bacterium. Its description in RNAcentral is "partial 16S ribosomal RNA". It matches the Rfam family "Bacterial small subunit ribosomal RNA", at positions 29 to 523 of the family's 1533-position model. The record is from RNAcentral.
AGUGAACGCUGGCGGUAGGCCUAACACAUGCAAGUCGAACGGCAGCACAGAGGAGCUUGCUCCUUGGGUGGCGAGUGGCGGACGGGGGAGGAAUACAUCGGAAUCUACUCUGUCGUGGGGGAUAACGUAGGGAAACUUACGCUAAUACCGCAUACGACCUACGGGUGAAAGCAGGGGAUCUUCGGACCUUGUGCGAUUGAAUGAGCCGAUGUCGGAUUAGCUAGUUGGCGGGGUAAAGGCCCACCAAGGCGACGAUCCGUAGCUGGUCUGAGAGGAUGAUCAGCCACACUGGAACUGAGACACGGUCCAGACUCCUACGGGAGGCAGCAGUGGGGAAUAUUGGACAAUGGGCGCAAGCCUGAUCCAGCCAUACCGCGUGGGUGAAGAAGGCCUUCGGGUUGUAAAGCCCUUUUGUUGGGAAAGAAAUCCAUCUGGUUAAUACCCGGGUGGGAUGACGGUACCCAAAGAAUAAGCACCGGCUAAUUUCGUGCCAGCCGCCGCAGUAA